CCUGCGGAAGGAUCGAUUGU
This 20-nucleotide ribosomal RNA is filed under the name Renealmia alpinia. RNAcentral's name for it is "partial 18S ribosomal RNA". The record is from RNAcentral. Lineage: Eukaryota; Viridiplantae; Streptophyta; Magnoliopsida; Zingiberales; Zingiberaceae.